RNAcentral lists this ribosomal RNA (429 nucleotides) under Acidobacteriota bacterium. RNAcentral's name for it is "Acidobacteria bacterium partial 16S ribosomal RNA". It matches the Rfam family "Bacterial small subunit ribosomal RNA", at positions 355 to 776 of the family's 1533-position model. Lineage: Bacteria; Pseudomonadati; Acidobacteriota. The record is from RNAcentral.
UGGGGAAUUUUGGACAAUGGGGGAAACCCUGAUCCAGCCAUCCCGCGUGUGCGAUGAAGGCCUUCGGGUUGUAAAGCACUUUUGGCAGGAAAGAAACGUCAUGGGUCAAUACCCCGUGAAACUGACGGUACCUGCAGAAUAAGCACCGGCUAACUACGUGCCAGCAGCCGCGGUAAUACGAAGGGUGCAAGCGUUAAUCGGAAUUACUGGGCGUAAAGCGUGCGCAGGCGGUUCGGAAAGAAAGAUGUGAAAUCCCAGAGCUCAACUUUGGAACUGCAUUUUUAACUACCGGGCAAGAGUGUGUCAGAGGGAGGUGGAAUUCCGCGUGUAGCAGUGAAAUGCGUAGAUAUGCGGAGGAACACCGAUGGCGAAGGCGGCCUCCUGGGAUAACACUGACGCUCAUGCACGAAAGCGUGGGGAGCAAACAGG